AUGGCCUUGGUUCAAAAGUAUGGGAAGCCAGACAUUUUUUUAACCAUGACUUGCAACCCUAAUUGGGAUGAAAUAAUUAGUGAGCUAGAGCCUGGACAAACUCCACAGGAUCGUCCUGAUCUCAUUGUAAGAGUAUUUCGAGCAAAGUUGGAAGACCUCAAGGUACAACUUUUUAAAAGGCACAUUCUUGGUAAGGUGGCAGCAUAUGUAUAUGUUGUUGAGUUCCAGAAAAGAGGUCUACCGCAUGCUCAUUUCCUCCUAAUCAUGGAGGGGAGGUACAAGCUAACAUGCCCAGAGCAAUAUGACUGUCUCAUAUCUGCUGAAUUGCCAGACAAAUACAAGUACCCUGAGUUGUAUAAAAUGGUCGUCAAGCACAUGAUGCAUGGCCCUUGUGGAGUCCUAAACCCCAAGAACGUGUGCAUGCAGAAAGGUAGCUGCAAGAACUACUAUCCAUGA
RNAcentral lists this ribosomal RNA (456 nucleotides) under Triticum aestivum (bread wheat). Its description in RNAcentral is "partial small subunit ribosomal RNA". Lineage: Eukaryota; Viridiplantae; Streptophyta; Magnoliopsida; Poales; Poaceae. The record is from RNAcentral.